RNAcentral lists this unclassified non-coding RNA (189 nucleotides) under soil metagenome. RNAcentral's name for it is "partial internal transcribed spacer 1". The record is from RNAcentral.
CAUCGAUGAAGAGCCAGCGGAGGGAUCAUUACCGAGUAUCUACUCAUAACCCUUUGUGAACCAUAUUGUUGCUUCGGCGGCUCGUUCAGCGAGCCCGCCGGUCCAUCAGUCUCUCUGUUUAUACCAACGAUACUUCCGAGUGUUCUUAGCGAACUAUUAAAACUUUUAACAACGGAUCUCUUGGCUCUA